CCUACGGGAGGCAGCAGUGGGGAAUCUUGCGCAAUGGGCGAAAGCCUGACGCAGCAACGCCGCGUGCGGGAAGAAGGCCUUAGGGUUGUAAACCGCUUUCAGUAGGAACGAAAAUGACGGUACCUGCAGAAGAAGGUGCGGCCAACUACGUGCCAGCAGCCGCGGUGACACGUAGGCACCAAGCGUUGUCCGGAUUUAUUGGGCGUAAAGAGCUCGUAGGCGGUUCAGUAAGUCGGGUGUGAAAACUCUGGGCUUAACCCAGAGCCGCCACUCGAUACUGCUGUGACUUGAGUUCGGUAGGGGAGCAGGGAAUUCCUAGUGUAGCGGUGAAAUGCGCAGAUAUUAGGAGGAACACCGGUGGCGAAGGCGCUGCUCUGGGCCGAUACUGACGCUGAGGAGCGAAAGCGUGGGUAGCAAACAGGAUUAGAUACCCUGGUAGUCCACGCCGUAAACGUUGGGCACUAGGUGUGGGUUCCAACCAACGGAAUCCGCGCCGUCGCUAACGCAUUAAGUGCCCCGCCUGGGGAGUACGGCGGCAACGCUAAAACUCAAAUGAAUUGACGGCUGAGNGCGACGAGCACACGGAGGUAG
This 591-nucleotide ribosomal RNA is filed under the name uncultured bacterium. RNAcentral's name for it is "bacterial SSU rRNA". It matches the Rfam family "Bacterial small subunit ribosomal RNA", at positions 338 to 941 of the family's 1533-position model. The record is from RNAcentral.